CACUCUGUUAGUUCGACCGCAGUGUGAACUUGUUUUUAUAAGGAGCUGCCGACCCGGGGGAGUCUGAAAGGACGCAUAAUUUCUACUAUGAAUUGGCCAAAAAAUGAUUCGUUUGUGAAGUCUACCUUAUAUGAUAAUUUUUUAGAUUAUCUCGACCCGAUUUCGGACUCGUAAGGAUCCGUAGGAUCGACUGGAAUUCUAAAAUCGAAUGUUUGACAGAAUGGGUCCAAACGGUUAAGGCGAUAUAACAGAAGUCUCUUACGUGGACAUCUCUCUUUCGUGUACCUGAGAGCAAUCUGAAUAAAUCAACAUGCAAUUACGAAUCCCAUAAAAAA
Molecule: non-coding RNA, 335 nt
Organism: Drosophila virilis
Lineage: Eukaryota; Metazoa; Arthropoda; Insecta; Diptera; Drosophilidae
Source: RefSeq, a predicted model, not a curated record